This 457-nucleotide ribosomal RNA is filed under the name uncultured bacterium. RNAcentral's name for it is "SSU rRNA". It matches the Rfam family "Bacterial small subunit ribosomal RNA", at positions 26 to 518 of the family's 1533-position model. The record is from RNAcentral.
AGAAUCAACGCUGGCGGCGUGCCUAACACAUGCAAGUCGAACGAGAAAGUGGAGCAAUCCAUGAGUAAAGUGGCGACCGGGUGAGUAACACGUGACUACCUACCCUUGAGUGGGGGAUAACCUCGGGAAACCGAGGCUAAUACCGCAUAAUAUCGAAAGAUCAAAGGAGUAAUCCGCUUUUGGAGGGGGUCGCGGCUGAUUAGCUAGUUGGUAGGGUAAUGGCCUACCAAGGCGAAGAUCGGUAUCCGGCCUGAGAGGGCGCACGGACACACUGGAACUGAAACACGGUCCAGACUCCUACGGGAGGCAGCAGUGGGAAUUUGCGCAAUGGGGGAAACCCUGACGCAGCAACGCCGCGUGGAGGAUGAAGCCCCUUGGGGUGUAAACUCCUUUCGACCGGGAAAAUAAUGAUGGUACCGGUGGAAGAAGCACCGGCUAACUCUGUGCCAGCAGCCGC